AGCAAUGUAGCUUGGUGGAAAGAGCAUGGGCCUGGGGGUCAGAGGACCUGGGUUCCAAUCCCAGCUCUGCCA
RNAcentral lists this transfer RNA (72 nucleotides) under Ornithorhynchus anatinus (platypus). It matches the Rfam family "tRNA". From Rfam's summary of the family: Transfer RNA (tRNA) molecules are approximately 80 nucleotides in length. Their secondary structure includes four short double-helical elements and three loops (D, anti-codon, and T loops). The record is from Rfam by way of RNAcentral. Lineage: Eukaryota; Metazoa; Chordata; Mammalia; Monotremata; Ornithorhynchidae.